RNAcentral lists this ribosomal RNA (341 nucleotides) under uncultured Pseudomonadota bacterium. RNAcentral's name for it is "bacterial SSU rRNA". It matches the Rfam family "Bacterial small subunit ribosomal RNA", at positions 29 to 351 of the family's 1533-position model. The record is from RNAcentral. Lineage: Bacteria; Pseudomonadati; Pseudomonadota.
AACGAACGCUGGCGGCGUGCCUAACACAUGCAAGUCGUACGAGAAAUCCUGAGCAAUCGGGAGAGUAAAGUGGCGCACGGGUGAGUAACGCGUGGGUAACCUACCCUUAAGUUUGGGAUAACUCCGCGAAAGCGGGGUUAAUACCGGAUAAUAUUUCGAUUUCCUUGGAAGUUGAAAUCAAAGGUGGCCUCUGCAUGCAAGCUAUCACUUAAGGAUGGGCCCGCGUACCAUUAGCUUGUUGGUAGGGUAACGGCCUACCAAGGCUACGAUGGUUAGCUGGUCUAAGAGGAUGGUCAGCCACACUGGAACUGAGACACGGUCCAGACUCCUACGGGUGGCUG